Molecule: ribosomal RNA, 404 nt
Filed under: uncultured bacterium
Lineage: Bacteria
Description: bacterial SSU rRNA
Rfam family: Bacterial small subunit ribosomal RNA
Source: RNAcentral
UAGGGAAUAUUGCACAAUGGGCGAAAGCCUGAUGCAGCAACGCCGCGUGCGCGAAGAAGGCCUUCGGGUCGUAAAGCGCUUUUCGGGGAGAUGAGGAAGGACAGUAUCCCCGGAAUAAGGCUCGGCUAACUACGUGCCAGCAGCCGCGGUAAAACGUAGGAGCCAAGCGUUAUCCGAAUUCACUGGGCGUAAAGCGCGUGCAGGCGGCUUGGUAAGUUGGAUGUGAAAUCUCCUGGCUCAACUGGGAGAGGCCGUUCAAUACUGUCAGGCUAGAGGGCGACAGAGGGAGGUGGAAUUCCGGGUGUAGUGGUGAAAUGCGUAGAUAUCCGGAGGAACACCAGAGGCGAAGGCGACCUCCUGGGUCGCACCUGACGCUCAGACGCGAAAGCUAGGGGAGCAAACGG